UACGGAGGGAGCUAGCGUUGUUCGGAAUUACUGGGCGUAAAGCGCACGUAGGCGGCUUUUUAAGUCAGGGGUAAAAUCCCGGGGCUCAACCCCGGAACUGCCCUUGAAACUGGAGAGCUAGAAUCUUGGAGAGGCGAGUGGAAUUCCGAGUGUAGAGGUGAAAUGCGUAGAUAUGUGGAAGAACACCGGUGGCGAAAGCGGUUAUCGAGCUUAGACCUGACGCUGAGGCACGAAAGCAAGGGAGCAAACAGG
Molecule: ribosomal RNA, 252 nt
Filed under: uncultured bacterium
Lineage: Bacteria
Description: partial 16S ribosomal RNA
Rfam family: Bacterial small subunit ribosomal RNA
Source: RNAcentral